Molecule: long non-coding RNA, 2576 nt
Organism: Neofelis nebulosa (Clouded leopard)
Lineage: Eukaryota; Metazoa; Chordata; Mammalia; Carnivora; Felidae
Exons: 5
Source: RefSeq, a predicted model, not a curated record
CUCUGACAGCCACCUGCCAGACUAGCCAAGCCUGCCUAACCUCUGCUCACCUCAGCUUAAACGUCACUUCCUCAGAGAUACCUUCCCUUCACCUGCUGCAGCUCUCACUUGCCUCCUGGGCUCCCCACGGUCUGUCCUUCUAUCUGCAUUGGGGCUUACCACCUGUGGCGCUUACCCCUCCAGCAGACUGCAGGGCGUCCCCUGAGCAGGGGCCUGCUUCAUCCUCUCUGUUUACCACUACAUCCCUAACACCAAUACUUCCAGAAUCACUUCACGGUGGUUCCCUCUAUCUCAAACCUGGCAUUUGAAACUUGGUGUUAGGUAGGUGGGGUUGCCAAGGAAGAUGCUGGAACAAAUCCCUGCAUUUCCUGAGCGGGUUAGCUGGUGACUGUGUGAACCUACAGUCCCUGUGGUAUGUGUGAUUCAGUGCCCUCAGCCUGGCAUUCGGCCGUUUGGUGAGAUGAACGCCUGCCUACACCCAAGACUCCAGGUGCUCAGCUGCAAGCCUGGUGGUUAGAAGUGGCACAGGGGCAGACCCAGAGGGGAGGGAGGGACACAGGUGACUGUAUCCCUCAGCCACGUGGCCUUGCCAGGCACCAGGGAGCCAAGGAACAAAUGAGGGGUGUUGCCAAGGAGGAUCACGAGUAGAGAGCAACAAAGCCAGAGACCCUCAAGGUUUAGGAUUCCAAGGUUCAGUGUGCGCCUGACUGCUCAGCUGGGAGUUUCCUUUGCUUUUAUGGAUUUCAAGUGAGGGAAAUGAGGUCACUUGUCAAGAAAUGUACAUUUUCUCAGAAAACAUUGUUGCAAUGGAAGCAGCAAGGCAUAAAACAGAACCCAGGAACUGUUGAAAAGCUAUCACCCACCCUGUCUGAGCCUCAGUUCACUCACUUGUAUCCAGAAGCCUCAACAGAUAAUUGAAUAAUUAAGUGAAAUCACCUAUUCGCUGGAGGACACAGCCCUGCCAUCUCCACAGUCCUUCACCAGGCUUUCCCCAGCCCCCAGCUCCAGCCUCAGGAAGUGGAGCUGCUGAGAAUCUCUCCUCCAGCCUCGCCUCCUGCCGAGAGUGUCCUCUGCGUGAGCAUUUCCUGGCCUAAUUAAGCUGGGUAAUGAGUAGCUAAGAGGGAGGGGAUAAAAGCCCUAGGCGGCUUAGAGCUGGGACAGUUUAUGACAGGGGCGUCUGCAGCUGGUGACACUCUUAGGAAAGUUAUUUCUCAUAACCUGGGAAGUUGCAUGCUGUUUCCAUAGCACAGUGAGCCCCAAGGUAAGCACAGGGAGUAUUGCACUUAAGAGGGACCAGCUGGAGGGUCCUGAGAGGGUCCUGAGAGGGUCCUGAGUGGGGUGGUACUGGGGGGGUCUGAGAAAAGGACUGAUCCCAGCUGCGGAGCAGUCCUGAGCCGCCCAGGCUAAUGCCCUUGGCUUAGCCCCAGGCCGGGGUGUCCUUGGUGACCACGUGUGACUCCCCAGGGCUGGGGUUUUAUGUUUCAUUUGAAUGAUAGGACUGUGCACUGUGGGCAGUUUCCUAAGACCGUGUCCGACCCGAGUAAGGUAAUCUGAGCCAGACGCUGAUCCUGACUCCCCUCAGUCCUCUUUUAAGGUGCCCAAUAUUGUGUCCUGGAAAAUACCAAGCGCCCAGCAGCCAAGCAGGAGCCCUGGGGGACUGGGGAAGGCUGACAGCAGCCUGGCCUUUCAGAGACCUUCAAAGGCCAAAAGUUGACUGUUUCCACUUCCAACCUCUGCCUCAAGAACCCAACUCCACAACCACAGCCUGCAUACCUUGGCACCGUGUCUAUUUCAUCUGUUUAAAUCACUUUGCACUCAGGCAUUAGUUGGCCACCCCCCACCCCGCACCCCCUGCUCUGGUGUGUGAGGGGGAGGCAGUGUGUUGGGGCCUGGGUCUUGGAGUAGGUUUCAUCACUAGAACAGGGGUUUCCCCUGUACAAUCAGGGCUUUGGCAAUGCCUAGCCUCCAAUGUGCUAUGAGCGCACAACCUCCACUGUCCAUGAGUGGGGGGAAUGGCCAAAACGUGGUCACAUUUCCCAAGCCUUUCAAACUAGGGGACAAUAUGUGCACUUUUACACCCAGGAGCAACUUGCUCUGAUUAUCAGUGUAGAGAAGAGCUGUACCCAGUGAAUGUUACUGAUGAUGGAAGAGCUCAGCCUUCCUCCUGCACUCCAAAAUCGCUAUUUUGAACUUUUCUAAUUUUCUUUCUUUUUUUUUUAAGUAGGCUCCAUGCCCAAUGUGGGCCUUGAACUCAAGAUCAAGAGUCAUAUGCUCUACCAACUAAGCCAGCCAGGUGCCCCUUGAUCCUUUCUAAUUUUCUGAAGAAGACUGUUUCAGGCCAUGUCCUCAGAACCCCACUUCCUCUUGGUGGCCAGAGCUCAGGGCCCACGGCUACAGGAAAUUUGCAGAGUCCCUCCUUUUUUUUUGUCUCUUUUCACUCUCUCCCCUUUGCUGUUCUCAUAAUCUUAUCUACCCUCUUGGCCUACUUCUCUUUCUUUUUAACCCAUUUUUUAUUGAGAUAUAAUUAACAUAAUUUGUAUGAGUUUAAGAUAUAAAAAAACAGUUUGCUCCAUGUA